Molecule: long non-coding RNA, 831 nt
Filed under: Mytilus galloprovincialis (Mediterranean mussel)
Lineage: Eukaryota; Metazoa; Mollusca; Bivalvia; Mytilida; Mytilidae
Source: RNAcentral
CAACUACUAAAUAAAACCACUAAACAAUAAAAUGGAGGAUGUCAUUAUGUCAGCCUCAACUAUAACUCUAUCAGAUUUCUUUAAUUACUUUUUGUGUUAAUAUAUAUAUUCCACUUUCAUUACAAAUAUCCCAUAUAUUGCGACAAUAAGCAUACAAUGGCAGAAUACAAAAAUGAUACAUAUAUGGAUAGGUAAAUAUUUACGUAUCUUUUGUAAUAAGAUAGUGUACAUGACAUUUUAUAUGUAUUCGCUCAUUCCAAUUAAUUUUGUGAUGAUAUAUAAACCAAGAAGUUUUUUCAUAAUCUAUAGUCUCUGAUAGUUCAUCUUAAAUAGUGGUAUCCUCACUGUUCCCAGCCUCUAUUUUGAACCAAUAAUCAUUGAUCUUUCAGUUUCAUACAAUUUUGCGAACACAAGUUUUUAAUUAUUUUUAAAAAUAUCAUUUUGAAGGUUAACAUGUAUCUCAUGUAAUUAUUACAUUUACUAUGUAAAGUACAAUGAUCUGCAUACAAAUCUUAAAUGAAUUUUUAAUGUUCAGCGGAAAAUCAUUGCUGUAUGAAUAAACGAUAAAGUGCCAAGGAUAGUAGGUUGGUCCCCUCCGUAAAAUACCCAGUAUGCCUUCGGAAUAUACAAAUAUUAACGGUAUUGUCAAGGAUAUCAAUAACGGCCAGGCUAUACUACAAGGAUAGAGCCUUGUGGUACACCCGUUUUUAUAAAUUUUUAAUAAUUUAGUAGUAUAAGACAUGGCAUUAUUGACCUUAACUUAUUGAAUUCUUUCAAACAGUAUGAGUUUAACCAGUCUAGUGUAUAUUUUGUAACAUUACGAUAUUCAAG